AGUCAUGGACAGGGGUACUAUUUUAUAUUUAUAGAAUGGUUGAGAGAUACUCUUAGUAGCUGAUCUAGGUAAUUCUAGCGUAGCGAGUCUUUUUUCUCCUAAC
This 103-nucleotide non-coding RNA is filed under the name Mycoplasmopsis cynos. Its description in RNAcentral is "Mycoplasma cynos TPP sequence". It matches the Rfam family "TPP riboswitch aptamer (THI element)". Rfam says of the family: Vitamin B(1) in its active form thiamin pyrophosphate (TPP) is an essential coenzyme that is synthesised by coupling of pyrimidine and thiazole moieties in bacteria. The previously detected thiamin-regulatory element, thi box was extended, resulting in a new, highly conserved RNA secondary structure, the THI element, which is widely distributed in eubacteria and also occurs in some archaea. Lineage: Bacteria; Bacillati; Mycoplasmatota; Mycoplasmoidales; Metamycoplasmataceae. The record is from RNAcentral. RNAcentral also lists the same sequence under 1 other name.